GUGAACGCUGGCGGUAGGCCUAGCACAUGCAAGUCGAACGGCAGCACAGUAAGAACUUGCUCUUACGGGUGGCGAGUGGCGGACGGGUGAGGAAUACAUCGGAAUCUACUUUUUCGUGGGGGAUAACGUAGGGAAACUUACGCUAAUACCGCAUACGACCUACGGGUGAAAGCAGGGGAUCUUCGGACCUUGCGCGAUUGAAUGAGCCGAUGUCGGAUUAGCUAGUUGGCGGGGUAAAGGCCCACCAAGGCGACGAUCCGUAGCUGGUCUGAGAGGAUGAUCAGCCACACUGGAACUGAGACACGGUCCAGACUCCUACGGGAGGCAGCAGUGGGGAAUAUUGGACAAUGGGCGCAAGCCUGAUCCAGCCAUACCGCGUGGGUGAAGAAGGCCUUCGGGUUGUAAAGCCCUUUUGUUGGGAAAGAAAAGCAGCAGGUUAAUACCCCGCUGUUCUGACGGUACCCAAAGAAUAAGCACCGGCUAACUUCGUG
Molecule: ribosomal RNA, 491 nt
Filed under: uncultured bacterium
Lineage: Bacteria
Description: partial 16S ribosomal RNA
Rfam family: Bacterial small subunit ribosomal RNA
Source: RNAcentral